Scophthalmus maximus (turbot) is the source of this 1126-nucleotide long non-coding RNA. RefSeq lists it as uncharacterized. Lineage: Eukaryota; Metazoa; Chordata; Actinopteri; Pleuronectiformes; Scophthalmidae. The transcript is spliced from 3 exons. The record is from RefSeq and is a predicted model, not a curated record.
CAAACAUCAUCACCAGCACACUUCCUCUCUCAAAGUCGUCCCCAAGAAACGCGUUUGAGCUCGGCGAAGGCUUCGAGCGGCGGCGGCGGCGGACGUUCGGUCUAGCUCUGUGAACGUCAUUUAAACUGAUGCCACUGUAAGUGUGGCCGAUAGUCCUGCAGUUUCAUAUCGCAGAUAGAGAGCUGGGGUGUGAGGUGUGUGUGUGUGUGUGUGUGUGUGAAGUGUAAUCAGAGCGUAUCUCAGCUCGCACCCUCGUGCAUCAGCCUGUAGUUUUAACAGAGGAAUGGAAAAACCUGAAAAGGUCACAUCGCAUGGCGGUUGUUUUUUCAGAGCACACGGCGUCUUUUGGUGGGUCGGUAAACAAAUGCGACGGAUCCCAUGGGUGCGGAGCUCGGCGAACCGCAGAGCCUCGUUCGCUCCUGCUCGUCUCGGCUCGCGGCGGUGUAUUUUUGUCCCUGUGAAGAUGCAAAAGGACCUCCCAGAACUCGUUGGAUGUUUGAGGGGUUAGCGGAGACCGCAUGGGCCACAUCAUCAGGUCGCGGCGUGGAGGAGGAUCGGCGCAGCGGAUUGGUCCGAGGGGCUUCACCCUGCAGACUCCUUCCGAACGGCAUCCGAGGCAGCGCGAGUGUUGUGUCACCGACUGGGCCGCGGGGGCUGGUGUUUCAUGUGUUGUCGGGGGCUCCUCUAGUGGCCACAGCCAGAACUGCCCCCCCCUCUCUACUGAUGGAGAGAUUUCCUCAGUGACAGCUCCUAAGAGACAAACUGAGUAGACUGGGGCCGCAACUGACGGUUAUUUUCAUCAUCGACGAAUCUGUCGAUUAUUUCCUCGAUUACUCGUUUGGUCCAUAGAAUGUCUUGUUUUACCAAAACUCAAAGAGGAUGUUUUCUACUGAAGAUGUUCAGUUUUUCCUGUCACAGAGGAGCAAAGAAACCAGAACAUAUUCACCUUAAAGAAGCUGAAAUCAGAGGAUUUAGACUUUUUUUCCUCUCCGGAAAAACGACUUCAACCAAUUAAUCAAAAAUAGUUUGAGAUUCUCUUAGUAAUCGAUUACUAAUCGAUUGACUGUUGCAGCUCUAAAGUAGACCUAUGUUAAGAAUACAUUUUAAACAUGUGUAAUUAAAGGAA